This 23-nucleotide microRNA is filed under the name Echinococcus granulosus. Its description in RNAcentral is "egr-miR-10280-3p". The record is from miRBase by way of RNAcentral. Lineage: Eukaryota; Metazoa; Platyhelminthes; Cestoda; Cyclophyllidea; Taeniidae.
CCACUGCCUUCACAUCCUCCGUA